Molecule: long non-coding RNA, 1100 nt
Organism: Camellia sinensis
Lineage: Eukaryota; Viridiplantae; Streptophyta; Magnoliopsida; Ericales; Theaceae
Source: RefSeq, a predicted model, not a curated record
AUCAAUUUUUUUUCCGGCCAAACACUCUUUGCUCUCUCUCUCCUGUGUCUGCCCAAACGCGUCUCUUCAACUCCCUCUCUACACGUUCUCUCUCACAUUCUCGCCUCAAAAUCAAAAUAACCUGAUCUCUGCGAUCAUCAGCGGAAGCAGAAGAAAUGGAAACGACAACGGAAGCCACUGUUCUUAUAUUUCCCCUUCUUCAUCCUUCACCAACCGAUGCCCACUGACCGUCGUCGAUUACCUACAAUCAUCCGAUACCCCUUUGAUCGUAAAAAAAAAAAACUGUAUAAUGCUCUCUCUCAACGCCGCUCACCACUGAAGAGGAAGAUCAGCAAAUAGCAAAAACCCACAUCUCCUUGCGACGACCACCACUAUCGCCGGAGACCCAAACCCGAACCCCCUAUUUCCUAUCCUCCUCCCUCUUCUCUCAUCCUCUUUCAUCACUUUAGUCCUCUCCUCCUCAUUCCCUUCGAACUAGAAAUGUAAGAUUGUUUGUUUUGAUUUUGGUUGUUUUGGAAUCAGAAAUUACGAAAUCAUUGUUGUUUUGAUUGUUUGUUCUGUUGUUCAUCAUCGACACCCACCCUCACAAGCUAUGUUUACAAGAAGAUGAGAGGGGGUUUGUGGCAACUUCGGCAAUUAAUCACUCGCCGACUUGCUCAAGCUAAUAAGAAGGUCGUAACACGAUGAUGCUUUGCCACAGAAGCUGAACUGAAGAAGACAAUUCUGUAUGAUUUCCAUGUCUCAAAUGGUGGCAAGAUGGUCCCAUUUGCUGGAUGUAGCAUGCUUCAAUACAAGGACUCAAUUAUGGAAUCCACUCUGAAUUGUAAGGAAAACGGCAGCCUAUUUGAUGUCUCUCAUAUGCGUGGGCUAAGCCUCAAGGGGAAGGACUGUAUCUCAUUUGUUGAGAAUCUUCAAUAUAUUUUUGUCCAAUUAGGAUAUUUGGACGAUUCAAAAUUAUUUAAAUUACAAAAUAAUAGUUGCGAUGUAUCUAUAUGUACAUUUUCUAUUUUUUUACUUUUUUUUUUUUACUUUUUCAUUUUUUCAUACACCCUUCCAUGAUCCCAUAAAUGAUCUCAUGAUUUCACCUUCUUGUCUUUUUA